AAGACCUUGCGCUUUUGGAGCGGCCGAUGCCUGAUUAGCUUGUUGGUAAGGUAAAAACUUACCAAGGCUUCGAUCAGUAGCUGGUCUGAGAGGACGGCCAGCCACACUGGGACUGAGACACGGCCCAGACUCCUACGGGAGGCAGCAGUGGGGAAUUUUGGACAAUGGGGGCAACCCUGAUCCAGCCAUGCCGCGUGAGUGAAGAAGGCCUUCGGGUUGUAAAGCUCUUUCAGCCGGAACGAAACGGUUACGGUUAAUACCCGUGAUUACUGACGGUACCGGAAGAAGAAGCACCGGCUAACUACGUGCCAGCAGCCGCGGUAAUACGUAGGGUGCGAGCGUUAAUCGGAAUUACUGGGCGUAAAGCGUGCGCAGGUGGUUUUGUAAGUCAGAUGUGAAAGCCCCGGGCUCAACCUGGGAACU
This 423-nucleotide ribosomal RNA is filed under the name uncultured bacterium. RNAcentral describes it as "bacterial SSU rRNA". It matches the Rfam family "Bacterial small subunit ribosomal RNA", at positions 207 to 622 of the family's 1533-position model. The record is from RNAcentral.